ACGAACGCUGGCGGCGCGCCUCACACAUGCAAGUCGAACGGAGCUGAGAGGAGCUUGCUUUUCUUAGCUUAGUGGCGAACGGGUGAGUAACGCGUGAGUAACCUGCCCUGGAGUGGGGGACAACAGUUGGAAACGACUGCUAAUACCGCAUAAGCCCACGGUGCUGCAUGGUACUGCGGGAAAAGGAUUUAUUCGCUCUAGGAUGGACUCGCGUCCAAUUAGCUAGUUGGUGAGGUAACGGCCCACCAAGGCGACGAUUGGUAGCCGGACUGAGAGGUUGAACGGCCACAUUGGGACUGAGACACGGCCCAGACUCCUACGGGAGGCAGCAGUGGGGGAUAUUGCACAAUGGGGGAAACCCUGAUGCAGCGACGCCGCGUGGAGGAAGAAGGUUUUCGGAUUGUAAACUCCUGUCGUUAGGGACGAUAAUGACGGUACCUAACAAGAAAGCACCGGCUAACUACGUGCCAGCAGCCGCGGUAAAACGUAGGGUGCAAGCGUUGUCCGGAAUUACUGGGUGUAAAGGGAGCGCAGGCGGACCGGCAAGUUGGAAGUGAAAUCCAUGGGCUCAACCCGUGAAUUGCUUUCAAAACUGCUGGCCUUGAGUAGUGCAGAGGUAGGUGGAAUUCCCGGUGUAGCGGUGGAAUGCGUAGAUAUCGGGAGGAACACCAGUGGCGAAGGCGACCUACUGGGCACCAACUGACGCUGAGGCUCGAAAGCAUGGGUAGCAAACAGGAUUAGAUACCCUGGUAGUCCAUGCCGUAAACGAUGAUUACUAGGUGUUGGAGGAUUAACCCCUUCAGUGGCGCAGUUAACACAAUAAGUAAUCCACCUGGGGAGUACGACCGCAAGGUUGCAACUCAAAUGAAUUGACGGA
RNAcentral lists this ribosomal RNA (877 nucleotides) under uncultured Bacillota bacterium. RNAcentral describes it as "bacterial SSU rRNA". It matches the Rfam family "Bacterial small subunit ribosomal RNA", at positions 29 to 917 of the family's 1533-position model. The record is from RNAcentral. Lineage: Bacteria; Bacillati; Bacillota.